RNAcentral lists this ribosomal RNA (400 nucleotides) under uncultured bacterium. RNAcentral describes it as "bacterial SSU rRNA". It matches the Rfam family "Bacterial small subunit ribosomal RNA", at positions 355 to 771 of the family's 1533-position model. The record is from RNAcentral.
UGGGGAAUAUUGGACAAUGGGCGAAAGCCUGAUCCAGCAAUGCCGCGUGAGUGAUGAAGGCCUAUUAGGUUGUAAAGCUCUUUGAGCAGGGAAGAUAAUGACGGUACCUGCAGAACAAGCCCCGGCUAACUACGUGCCAGCAGCCGCGGUAAUACGUAGGGGGCUAGCGUUGUUCGGAAUUACUGGGCGUAAAGAGCGCGUAGGUGGUCAUACAAGUUAGGAGUGAAAUCCCGGAGCUUAACUUCGGAACUGCUCUUAAAACUGUAUGGCUUGAGUGUGGUAGGGGGUAAUAGAAUUCCUAGUGUAGAGGUGAAAUUCUUAGAUAUUAGGAGGAAUACCGAUGGCGAAGGCGAUUACCUGGGCCACUACUGACACUGAGGCGCGAAAGCGUGGGGAGCAA